UACGGAGGGUGCAAGCGUUAAUCGGAAUUACUGGGCGUAAAGCGCGCGUAGGUGGUUUGGCAAGUCGGGUGUGAAAGCCCUGAGCUUAACUUGGGAAUUGCAUUCGAUACUGCCUGGCUAGAGUAUGGUAGAGGGAAGCGGAAUUCCGCAUGUAGCGGUGAAAUGCGUAGAUAUGCGGAGGAACACCGGUGGCGAAGGCGGCUUCCUGGACUAAUACUGACACUGAGGUGCGAAAGCGUGGGGAGCAAACAGG
This 253-nucleotide ribosomal RNA is filed under the name uncultured bacterium. RNAcentral describes it as "partial 16S ribosomal RNA". It matches the Rfam family "Bacterial small subunit ribosomal RNA", at positions 524 to 776 of the family's 1533-position model. The record is from RNAcentral.